RNAcentral lists this ribosomal RNA (468 nucleotides) under uncultured bacterium. Its description in RNAcentral is "partial 16S ribosomal RNA". It matches the Rfam family "Bacterial small subunit ribosomal RNA", at positions 28 to 507 of the family's 1533-position model. The record is from RNAcentral.
GACGAACGCUGGCGGCGGGCUUAACACAUGCAAGUCGAACGGAAAGGCCCUGCUUUUGUGGGGUGCUAGAGUGGCGAACGGGUGAGUAACACGUGAGUAACCUGCCCUUGACUUUAGGAUAACUUCAGGAAACUGGGGCUAAUACCGGAUAGGAGCUCCUGCUGCAUGGUGGGGGUUGGACCGUUUCGGCGGUUGGGGAUGGACGCGCGGCUUAUCAGCUUGUUGGUGGGGUAGUGGCUUACCAAGGCUUUGACGGGUAGCCGGCCUGAGAGGGUGGCCGGCCACAAUGGGACUGAGAUACGGCCCAGACUCCUACGGGAGGCAGCAGUGGGGAAUAUUGCCCAAUGGGCGGAAGCCUGAUGCAGAAACGCAGCGUGCGGGAUGACGGCCUUCGGGUUGUAAACCGCUUUCGCCUGUGACGAAGCGUGAGUGACGGUAAUGGGUAAAGAAGCACCGGCUAACUACGUG